AAUGGGGGAAACCCUGACGCAGCAACGCCGCGUGGGUGAUGAAGGCCUUCGGGCCGUAAAGCCCUGUCGGGAGGGAAGAAAUGAUUGAGAGCUAAUACCUCUUGGUCUUGACGGUACCUCCGAAGGAAGCACCGGCUAACUCCGUGCCGGCAGCCGCGGUGAUACGGAGGGUGCAAGCGUUGUUCGGAAUCACUGGGCGUAAAGCGCGUGUAGGCGGCUUGUUAAGUCAGAUGUGAAAACCGGGGGCUCAACCCGCGCCCUGCAUCUGAAACUAGCAGGCUUGAGUCUGGUAGAGGAAAGUGGAAUUCCUAGUGUAGCGGUGAAAUGCGCAGAUAUUAGGAGGAACACCAGUGGCGAAGGCGGCUUUCUGGGCCACGACUGACGCUGAGACGCGAAAGCUAGGGGAGCGAA
RNAcentral lists this ribosomal RNA (411 nucleotides) under uncultured bacterium. RNAcentral describes it as "bacterial SSU rRNA". It matches the Rfam family "Bacterial small subunit ribosomal RNA", at positions 370 to 772 of the family's 1533-position model. The record is from RNAcentral.